UACCUUCCCACAUACACACCUAU
Molecule: non-coding RNA, 23 nt
Filed under: Arabidopsis thaliana (thale cress)
Lineage: Eukaryota; Viridiplantae; Streptophyta; Magnoliopsida; Brassicales; Brassicaceae
Source: RNAcentral